Nematostella vectensis (starlet sea anemone) is the source of this 72-nucleotide non-coding RNA. The record is from Rfam. NCBI's taxonomy places the organism in Eukaryota, Metazoa, Cnidaria, Anthozoa, Actiniaria, Edwardsiidae.
GGCCGGAUGGUCUAGAGUCAUGAUUCUCGCUUAGGGUGCGAGAGGUCCCGGGUUCAAUUCCCGGUCGGGCCC